Molecule: ribosomal RNA, 254 nt
Filed under: uncultured bacterium
Lineage: Bacteria
Description: partial 16S ribosomal RNA
Rfam family: Bacterial small subunit ribosomal RNA
Source: RNAcentral
UACGAAGGGGGCGAGCGUUGUUCGGAAUUACUGGGCGUAAAGAGUGUGUAGGCAGUGCUCUAAGUUCGGUGUGAAAUCUCCUGGCUCAACUGGGAGGGUGCGCCGGAAACUGGAGUGCUUGAGCGUGGGAGAGGAAAGCGGAAUUCCUGGGUGUAGCGGUGAAAUGCGUAGAUAUCAGGAGGAACACCUGUGGUGUAGACGGCUUUCUGGACCAUAGCUGACGCUGAGACACGAAAGCGUGGGUAGCAAACAGG